This is a regulatory RNA element of Synechococcus sp., 60 nucleotides long. It matches the Rfam family "Glutamine-II riboswitch aptamer". From Rfam's summary of the family: The major groove of the PK provides the binding site for L-glutamine The record is from Rfam. NCBI's taxonomy places the organism in Bacteria, Bacillati, Cyanobacteriota, Cyanophyceae, Synechococcales, Synechococcaceae.
AAACGUUCACCCCUCUUUCGGGGGGCGCAGACACUCCAAGCCACGGAACGGGGACUUGGA